Molecule: ribosomal RNA, 253 nt
Filed under: uncultured bacterium
Lineage: Bacteria
Description: partial 16S ribosomal RNA
Rfam family: Bacterial small subunit ribosomal RNA
Source: RNAcentral
UACGUAGGAUGCGAGCGUUAUCCGGAUUUACUGGGUGUAAAGGGAGCGUAGACGGUUAUGCAAGUCAGAAGUGAAAGCCCAAAGCUCAACUUCGGGACUGCUUUUGAAACUGUGUAACUAGAGUGCAGGAGGGGUAAGCGGAAUUCCUAGUGUAGCGGUGAAAUGCGUAGAUAUUAGGAGGAACACCGGCGGCGAAGGCGGCUUACUGGACUGUAACUGACGUUGAGGCUCGAAAGCGUGGGGAGCAAACAGG